AGUCGAACGGAAAGGCCCUUCGGGGUACUCGAGUGGCGAACGGGUGAGUAACACGUGGGUGAUCUGCCCUGCACUUUGGGAUAAGCCUGGGAAACUGGGUCUAAUACCGAAUAUGACUGCGCACUUCCUGGUGUGUGGUGGAAAGCUUUUGCGGUGUGGGAUGGGCCCGCGGCCUAUCAGCUUGUUGGUGGGGUAAUGGCCUACCAAGGCGACGACGGGUAGCCGGCCUGAGAGGGUGACCGGCCACACUGGGACUGAGAUACGGCCCAGACUCCUACGGGAGGCAGCAGUGGGGAAUAUUGCACAAUGGGCGCAAGCCUGAUGCAGCGACGCCGCGUGAGGGAUGACGGCCUUCGGGUUGUAAACCUCUUUCAAUAGGGACGAAGCGCAAGUGACGGUACCUAUAGAAGAAGGACCGGCCAACUACGUGCCAGCAGCCGCGGUAAUACGUAGGGUCCGAGCGUUGUCCGGAAUUACUGGGCGUAAAGAGCUCGUAGGUGGUUUGUCGCGUUGUUCGUGAAAACUCACAACUCAAUUGUGGGCGUGCGGGCGAUACGGGCAGACUAGAGUACUGCAGGGGAGACUGGAAUUCCUGGUGUAGCGGUGGAAUGCGCAGAUAUCAGGAGGAACACCGGUGGCGAAGGCGGGUCUCUGGGCAGUAACUGACGCUGAGGAGCGAAAGCGUGGGGAGCGAACAGGAUUAGAUACCCUGGUAGUCCACGCCGUAAACGGUGGGUACUAGGUGUGGGUUCCUUCCUUGGGAUCCGUGCCGUAGCUAACGCAUUAAGUACCCCGCCUGGGGAGUACGGCCGCAAGG
RNAcentral lists this ribosomal RNA (817 nucleotides) under Mycobacterium sp. PAP3-9_Pa. RNAcentral's name for it is "bacterial SSU rRNA". It matches the Rfam family "Bacterial small subunit ribosomal RNA", at positions 60 to 893 of the family's 1533-position model. The record is from RNAcentral. Lineage: Bacteria; Bacillati; Actinomycetota; Actinomycetes; Mycobacteriales; Mycobacteriaceae.